GAUGAAGAACGUAGCGAAAUGCGAUAAGUAAUGUGAAUUGCAGAAUUCAGUGAAUCAUCGAAUCUUUGAACGCCCAUUGCGCCCAUUAGCAUUCUAGUGGGCAUGCCUGUUCGAGCGUCAUUUCAACCCUUAAGCCCUGUUGCUUAGCGUUGGGAGCCUACAGUACUGUAGCUCCCCAAAGUUAGUGGCGGAGUCGGUUUCACACUCUAGACGUAGUAAUUUUUUCUCGUCUGUAGUUGAGCCGGUCCCCUGCCGUAAAACACCCAAUUUAUCAAGGUUGACCUCGGAUCAGGUAGGAAUACCCGCUGAACUUAAGCAUAUCAAUAAGCGGAGGA
RNAcentral lists this unclassified non-coding RNA (335 nucleotides) under soil metagenome. Its description in RNAcentral is "partial contains 5.8S ribosomal RNA, internal transcribed spacer 2, and large subunit ribosomal RNA". The stretch from base 1 to 120 matches the Rfam family "5.8S ribosomal RNA", at positions 35 to 154 of the family's 154-position model. The record is from RNAcentral.